Molecule: ribosomal RNA, 377 nt
Filed under: uncultured bacterium
Lineage: Bacteria
Description: bacterial SSU rRNA
Rfam family: Bacterial small subunit ribosomal RNA
Source: RNAcentral
UAAUACGUAGGGGUCGAGCGUUGUCCGGAGUUACUGGGCGUAAAGCGCGCGCAGGCGGCGCGAUAAGACCGGCGUGAAAGCCCCCGGCUCAACCGGGGAGGGUCGUUGGUGACUGUCGCGCUUGAAGGCAGCAGGGGUGAGUGGAAUUCCCGGUGUAGUGGUGAAAUGCGUAGAGAUCGGGAGGAACACCCGUGGCGAAGGCGGCUCACUGGGCUGACCUUGACGCUGAGGCGCGAAGGCGUGGGGAGCGAACGGGAUUAGAUACCCCGGUAGUCCACGCAGUAAACGAUGCAGACUAGGCGUGGGGGGACUUGACCCCCUCCGUGCCGGAGCUAACGCGGUAAGUCUGCCGCCUGGGGAGUACGGCCGCAAGGCUA